GGGGAUGUGCUGGAACUGGCAGACAGGCAUGACUUAGGAUCAUGUGCCGCAAGGCGUGUGGGUUCGACUCCCACCAUCCUCA
Molecule: transfer RNA, 82 nt
Filed under: Pseudomonadota bacterium
Lineage: Bacteria; Pseudomonadati; Pseudomonadota
Also listed under: 4 other names
Description: tRNA-Leu
Rfam family: tRNA
About the family: Transfer RNA (tRNA) molecules are approximately 80 nucleotides in length. Their secondary structure includes four short double-helical elements and three loops (D, anti-codon, and T loops). Further hydrogen bonds mediate the characteristic L-shaped molecular structure. tRNAs have two regions of fundamental functional importance: the anti-codon, which is responsible for specific mRNA codon recognition, and the 3' end, to which the tRNAs corresponding amino acid is attached (by aminoacyl-tRNA synthetases). tRNAs cope with the degeneracy of the genetic code in two manners: having more than one tRNA (with a specific anti-codon) for a particular amino acid; and 'wobble' base-pairing, i.e. permitting non-standard base-pairing at the 3rd anti-codon position.
Source: RNAcentral